AAAAUUGAAUAUACGGCACUGCAAAAUGCAAUAAUGGGCUAGGGCUCACAAAAAAGGGUCCAAUAUGGUACUGCGAAAUGCAAUAAUGCCUCUUCGUUAGAUGGGCUAGGGCCCAUAAAAAAUGGCCUAAUAUGGCGUGCAAGAAACAUUUUUCAGCACAAAAAAUAGUGCGGAAACCUAAAAUGAGAUGGUCCAACAAAAUUUGGCUCACAAAGGCUC
Molecule: long non-coding RNA, 219 nt
Filed under: Setaria italica (foxtail millet)
Lineage: Eukaryota; Viridiplantae; Streptophyta; Magnoliopsida; Poales; Poaceae
Description: long non-coding RNA (SITA_LNC006913)
Source: RNAcentral